CCGCGUGAGUGAAGAAGGCCUUCGGGUUGUAAAGCUCUUUUGUCAGGGAAGAAACGGCUGUGGCUAAUAUCCACGGCUAAUGACGGUACCUGAAGAAUAAGCACCGGCUAACUACGUGCCAGCAGCCGCGGUAAUACGUAGGGUGCAAGCGUUAAUCGGAAUUACUGGGCGUAAAGCGUGCGCAGGCGGUUUUGUAGUCUGACGUGAAAUCCCCGGGCUCAACUGGGAAUUGCGUUGGAAAACGGCAGGCUAAAUCUGGGAA
RNAcentral lists this ribosomal RNA (262 nucleotides) under uncultured Oxalobacteraceae bacterium. RNAcentral describes it as "partial 16S ribosomal RNA". It matches the Rfam family "Bacterial small subunit ribosomal RNA", at positions 397 to 653 of the family's 1533-position model. Lineage: Bacteria; Pseudomonadati; Pseudomonadota; Betaproteobacteria; Burkholderiales; Oxalobacteraceae. The record is from RNAcentral.